GCAACUGCGUGACAUCAUGGGAUUCCGCUGCAGCCAUAUCUGCCCAUUCUGCCUGAAGGUGGAGGAUGACAGAGAGCUCACCGCAGAGGAGGAAGAGGAGGCGUUGAGAGGAAGCCCUCCCACCACCACCACCUCUUCAUCAUUUUCUCUCAAUGGAAAGCUCCAACUGACUGUUAUCUCCUAUAACAAAAGGGAUUAAAGUCAAGUUAUGAAGAGAGGGGGAAACAAUUGCAAUCACACAGCAAGAGCUGAUACUCUGCUCUGCUCACUGCAGUCGUUUUAUUUUGAAAGGACGUGGAGAAAAUGUCACGAUUGCUGCAUUCCAGCUUCUGCCUGCCUGCAAACGGCUGCAGUUUCUGACCCACAUACAGGCUAUGAAACGCAUGAUAAAAAGAAAAGAAAAAUACCAAUUGUGCAUACACAUUACCUCUAUCUAAUCCAUGCAAUUUGCAAAAAUAUCCAUUAUCGGUGGCUGAUGAGGUCAAGGUUAUAAUGGUGACUUGGUACGGCAGAAUUAUAUAAAUUCAGAUAAAUCACACACGACAUCAUGCUCGUCUAAGCCGAAGCAAUGAUCAGUCCAGCUGUCGUAGAUGUGGUCCGCUAACCCGAUCUGCACCUGUGCUGUGUUUAUCCACCACUUUCCUGCUUCAGCACUAUUCAGCCAAUUGAACUCUGCGGAUGGGAAGGACCAAUAGCCGGUGAGCAGGGAGACGAGAGAUUGAGAUCACUCCAUCUGUACAGUAGACGUCAUUAAACAGCAGAUGGAAAACUGAAAUAAUAAAUUCCAAAGCCGUCAAGGUCAGGUACAGAUUAUAUUGCUCUCAGACUCUCCACCUGCAGACUUUAUCUCAUGCAGGUAGCAAAGAUCAGACCAGAUACUGGUCUAAUGUUGCUUGCUUCACAAAGUGUCUGCGAUCAGUCGCGCUGCUCUGAUUGGACGAUCCACUGCAGAUCAGUUGCAGGAAGUUAAGAUGGCAUUUUUAUUAUUUAUGUAGAUUGUGUAAUCCUGGCUCAUAUCACAAACUGUGCAAGUCUUAUCAUUCCUAAACAUGCUUGGUGUUUUGCAUAUCUGUAAUUAUUCAUGUUAUAGUUAUAUAAUAGUCGUGCAAUAUUCCGGUUUUACUGGUUUUAUCUGUUGUAUCACUUUCCUUCAAAUCCUUGUUUCCAGUCCUGGCUCCACAAUGGUGGAACGAGCUCCCCACUCACAUCAUCAGAAACCCUACACAUCUUCCGUUGAAAACUCAGCUGUUCAUGUUGCAUCUUUGCCCCU
Molecule: long non-coding RNA, 1270 nt
Organism: Sander lucioperca (pikeperch)
Lineage: Eukaryota; Metazoa; Chordata; Actinopteri; Perciformes; Percidae
Exons: 4
Source: RefSeq, a predicted model, not a curated record